RNAcentral lists this ribosomal RNA (575 nucleotides) under uncultured Latescibacterota bacterium. RNAcentral describes it as "bacterial SSU rRNA". It matches the Rfam family "Bacterial small subunit ribosomal RNA", at positions 117 to 668 of the family's 1533-position model. Lineage: Bacteria; Pseudomonadati; Candidatus Latescibacterota. The record is from RNAcentral.
GUGAGAAACCUGCCUUCAUCAGGGGGAUAACACUCCCAACGGGGUGCUAAUACCGCAUGAGACCACGGGAUCGCAUGAUCCUGAGGUCAAAGGUGGCCUCUAUUUAUAAGCUACCGGAUGAAGAUGGUCUCGCGUCCCAUUAGCUAGUUGGCGGGGUAAUGGCCCACCAAGGCGACGAUGGGUAGCUGGUCUGAGAGGAUGGUCAGCCACACUGGGACUGAGAUACGGCCCAGACUCCUACGGGAGGCAGCAGUCGAGAGGCUUCGGCAAUGGGGGAAACCCUGACCGAGCGACGCCGCGUGGGGGAUGAAGGCCCUUGGGUUGUAAACCCCUUUUAUUCGGGAAGAAAUGUGAUCAGGUGAACAAUCUGGUCAUUUGACGGUACCGGAUGAAUAAGCUCCGGCUAACUCCGUGCCAGCAGCCGCGGUAACACGGGGGGAGCAAGCGUUGUUCGGAAUCACUGGGCGUAAAGGGCGUGUAGGCGGUCAGGUAAGUGGGAUGUGAAAUGCCCCGGCUCACCCGGGGACCGGCAUCUCAUACUGCUUGGCUUGAGUACGGGAGAGGAUGUGGGAAUU